GACGAACGCUGGCGGCGUGCUUAACACAUGCAAGUCGAACGGAAAGGCCCUGCUUUUGUGGGGUGCUCGAGUGGCGAACGGGUGAGUAACACGUGAGUAACCUGCCCUUGACUUUGGGAUAACUUCAGGAAACUGGGGCUAAUACCGGAUAGGAGCUCCUGCUGCAUGGUGGGGGUUGGAAAGUUUCGGCGGUUGGGGAUGGACUCGCGGCUUAUCAGCUUGUUGGUGGGGUAGUGGCUUACCAAGGCUUUGACGGGUAGCCGGCCUGAGAGGGUGACCGGCCACAUUGGGACUGAGAUACGGCCCAGACUCCUACGGGAGGCAGCAGUGGGGAAUAUUGCACAAUGGGCGGAAGCCUGAUGCAGCAACGCCGCGUGCGGGAUGACGGCCUUCGGGUUGUAAACCGCUUUCGCCUGUGACGAAGCGUGAGUGACGGUAAUGGGUAAAGAAGCACCGGCUAACUACGUGCCAGCAGCCGCGGUGAUACGUAGGGUGCGAGCGUUGUCCGGAUUUAUUGGGCGUAAAGGGCUCGUUGGUGGUUGAUCGCGUCGGAAGUGUAAUCUUGGGGCUUAACCCUGAGCGUGCUUUCGAUACGGGUUGACUUGAGGAAGGUAGGGGAGAAUGGAAUUCCUGGUGGAGCGGUGGAAUGCGCAGAUAUCAGGAGGAACACCAGUGGCGAAGGCGGUUCUCUGGGCCUUUCCUGACGCUGAGGAGCGAAAGCGUGGGGAGCGAACAGGCUUAGAUACCCUGGUAGUCCACGCUGUAAACGGUGGGUACUAGGUGUGGGGUCCAUUCCACGGGUUCCGUGCCGUAGCUAACGCUUUAAGUACCCCGCCUGGGGAGUACGGCCGCAAGGCUAAAACUCAAAGGAAUUGACGGGGCCCCGCACAAGCGGCGGAGCAUGCGGAUUAAUUCGAUGCAACGCGUAGAACCUUACCUGGGUUUGACAUGGAUCGGGAGUGCUCAGAGAUGGGUGUGCCUCUUUUGGGGUCGGUUCACAGGUGGUGCAUGGCUGUCGUCAGCUCGUGUCGUGAGAUGUUGGGUUAAGUCCCGCAACGAGCGCAACCCUUGUUCACUGUUGCCAGCACGUUAUGGUGGGGACUCAGUGGAGACCGCCGGGGUCAACUCGGAGGAAGGUGGGGAUGACGUCAAGUCAUCAUGCCCCUUAUGUCCAGGGCUUCACGCAUGCUACAAUGGCUGGUACAGAGAGUGGCGAGCCUGUGAGGGUGAGCGAAUCUCGGAAAGCCGGUCUCAGUUCGGAUUGGGGUCUGCAACUCGACCUCAUGAAGUCGGAGUCGCUAGUAAUCGCAGAUCAGCAACGCUGCGGUGAAUACGUUCCCGGGGCU
RNAcentral lists this ribosomal RNA (1346 nucleotides) under uncultured bacterium. Its description in RNAcentral is "partial 16S ribosomal RNA". It matches the Rfam family "Bacterial small subunit ribosomal RNA", at positions 28 to 1381 of the family's 1533-position model. The record is from RNAcentral.